Molecule: ribosomal RNA, 253 nt
Filed under: uncultured bacterium
Lineage: Bacteria
Description: partial 16S ribosomal RNA
Rfam family: Bacterial small subunit ribosomal RNA
Source: RNAcentral
UACGAAGGUGGCAAGCGUUACUCGGAAUUACUAGGCGUAAAGGGCAGGUAGGUGGUUCGGCAAGUCUGUUGUGAAAUCUCCCGGCUUAACUGGGAGCGGUCAACAGAAACUGCCGGGCUUGAGUAUAGGAGAGGGUACUGGAAUUCCCGGUGUAGCGGUGAAAUGCGCAGAGAUCGGGAGGAACACCAAUGGCGAAAGCAGGUACCUGGACUAUUACUGACACUCAGCUGCGAAAGCUAGGGGAGCAAACAGG